ACUCCUACGGGAGGCAGCAGUGGGAAUAUUGGACAAUGGGGGCACCGUAGCUCCAGCCAUGCCGCGUGUAUGAAGAAGGGCCCUCGGGUUGUAAAGUACUUUCAGUGGUGAGGAAGGUUGCGUGUUAAUACCCACGUAAUUUGACGUUAGCCACAGAAGAAGCACCGGCUAACUCCGUGCCAGCAGCCGCGGUAAUACGGAGGGUGCAAGCGUUAAUCGGAAUUACUGGGCGUAAAGCGCACGUAGGCGGAUUGGAAAGUUGGGGUGGAAUACCACGGC
Molecule: ribosomal RNA, 279 nt
Filed under: uncultured bacterium
Lineage: Bacteria
Description: partial 16S ribosomal RNA
Rfam family: Bacterial small subunit ribosomal RNA
Source: RNAcentral